GUCUAUGACCACGUCAGACUGAACAUGCCUGAUCCCAUCUGAUCUCAGAUUCUAAGCAGGACCAGUUAGUACCAGGGUGGAAGAUCAACUGGGAAUCUUGGGUGUCAUUGCCC
RNAcentral lists this ribosomal RNA (113 nucleotides) under Sphenodon punctatus (tuatara). Lineage: Eukaryota; Metazoa; Chordata; Lepidosauria; Sphenodontia; Sphenodontidae. The record is from RNAcentral.